RNAcentral lists this long non-coding RNA (3389 nucleotides) under Sus scrofa (pig). RNAcentral's name for it is "lncRNA (ENSSSCG00035077482.1)". Lineage: Eukaryota; Metazoa; Chordata; Mammalia; Artiodactyla; Suidae. The record is from RNAcentral.
CCCACGGCAUAUGGAGUUCCUGGGCCAGGGAGUGAAUCCAAGCCUGAGUUGCAACCUAUGCCACAGCGGCAGCAACGCCGGAUCCUUAACCCACUGUGCAGGGCUGGGAUUGAACCACGUCCCUGUCGCUGCAGAGACACCGUGGAUCCUGUUGUGCCACGGCAGGAACUCCUACAAUCACCGUUUAGCUUGAGUCUUUGGGAAGCGGAAGAGCUGAAUGUCCUUAACAUUCUAGCAUCCCUGAAUUACGUGUGAUCUGUAAUCACCUGACAGCAUAGGAUAUCAUCCUAUCUAAUCCGUGUAACAAUGUCAGUGGAAGAACAAGAUCUGACAAAUGUCAUGAUGUUUUGCUACUUUUAAAUGAUAGUAAAAUGGGGAGUUGGGGUUGGUAGAUAUAAAAUUUACACUUAGAAUGGAUAAGCAAUGAGCUCCUGAUGUACAGCACAGGGAACGCUAUCCAAUCUCUUGAGAUAGAACAUGAUGGAAGAUAGUAUGAGAUAAAGAAUGUGCGUGUGUGUGUGUGUGUGUGUGUGUACACACACAUAUGAAUGACUGGGUCACUUUGCUGCACAGCAGAAAUCAGCACAAAAUUGUAAAUCAACUGUACUUUCAUAAAAAAUAAAAUCAACAAUAUAAAAAUAAAAAUAUACAAACAAAUAAAUAAUGAUAAGCAUUCUAGGAGUGCCUGUUGUGGUGCAGGGUGGUGGGUUAAGAAUCCGAUGGCAGCAACACGGGUUGCUGCAGAGGCAUGGGUUGGAUCCCUGGCCUGGGAACUUCCAUAGGCUGCAGGUGCAGCAUAAAAAAUAAAAAAAUGAAAAUAAAUAAAAUGACCAAAAAUAAAUGUAAGCAUUCCGGAUAAAACUUGAAAUUCUUGUUGUGAUUCAUACAUUGAAAUUCUAAUGUCCCUUUUUAUCUUUUUUUUAUUUUUUAUUUAUUUAUUUAUUUUUUUUGUCUUUUUGCUAUUUCUUUGGGCCACUCCCGUGGCAUAUGGAGGUUCCCAGGCUAGGGGUCGAAUCGGAGCUGUAGCCACCGGCCUACGCCAGAGCCACAGCAACGCAGGAUCCGAGCCGUGUCUGCAACCUACACCACAGCUCAGGCAACGCCGGAUCGUUAACCCACUGAGCAAGGGCAGGGACCGAACCCGCAACCUCAUGGUUCCUAGUCGGAUUUGUUAACCACUGCGCCACGACGGGAACUCCAGAAUGUCCCUUUUUAGAUCAUAGGUAAAUGAGAACAGAGGCUGAGGGGAGAGCCUUUUCUCGGGGACAGAGAGACUCCUGUUUCAUUUCCACUCAAGUUUUAGGUCAGUGAUUUGAAAAGUAGUUAUUUCAGCACAUCUCUCUAUUUUGCAUACAGAAACACCUGUUUUACAAACAGUACACGUAUCUAUAUUAAAACUGUAGGCAAUGAGAGGAACACUUUUUUCUCUGAGAUCGUUUUCACCCCUCCACCAACCAAGAGCAGGCUGCAGUAGCGGGUGUGUGACUUCCUUCUUGUUUUAAUGACUCUCUCUGGGGCCAGGGCCCCAAAUCUAGCAGUGAGGCUAAUUAGGAAGAAGAGCAAUGUUAAUGUGACUCCUGGCUCUGAGUCUAAUACUCUGAGCUAUGGGGCCAACUUCCUUGUGUGCCUUCCAUCUCCUCUGCUGGCCAGUGAUUGCCCCGCCGUUAGCUGGAAGCUGCCUGGACAGCAGUUGGGAUCCUGAAAGUGUCCUGAGGCCAGGAAGGAGCUUUGGUCAGACUGGGAGGUGCAGACUGUGUCCUUGGACAGCGCGUCAUCAGUGCAGAUGACGGUGUGAAGAUGCUAUGCAAAUGGAAGCUUAUUUGCAUUAGAAAAAAAGAUCUGGGCUCUCAUAAACAUCCCUUCAUGAAAAGGAUUUUGCUAGGUAUACUGAAAAAAAAAAAAAAGACACCAUCUAAAAUGAACAUCUGUUAUAACAGCUGUUCCUGAAAGCGGAUUAAGGUACAACUGCCACAUAAAAAGUGAAAAAGGGAACUAUCUUCCCCUUUGACUUGCUGGCAUGUCAACCCCCUCCCAUUUAUUCCCGAGUCCUUCCACUGGGAUUCAUCAGCACAUUUCAGAUUUCAUAAAUGAAAAACCAGUCCAUUGUAAACCAAAGAGAAAUAUUCCACCUACCACUGGAAUGCCUCCGAGUUCUAAAAACAACAUACGCCCCCACCCAGCCCUGGGUCUCCACACAUUGUCUUUUGUUUAAAACUAAAGUGUUUGUCAUUAAACAUAAGCCCAAGAACAGGAAGCAGCUGUCCCACUGGACAAGGCCCUGGGCAGUAUGCGUGUCACUUGAAAGAGGGUGACUGUCCCGGAGAGGGCUUAGAGGAGACACGUUGUUAUUUAUUUAUUUCAGGGCGGCACCCGAGGCCUAUGGAAGUUCCCAGGCCAGGAGGCGAAUCAUAGCUGCAGCUGCCAGCCUAUGCCUACAGCCCCAGUAAUACCAGAUCCUUAACCUACUGAGUGAUGCCAGGGAUUGAACCUGUGUCCUCAUGGAUACUCAUCAUGUUCUUUACCCCUGAGCUACGACGGGAAUUCCCGAGGCAUGUUGUUAUAAAGAUGGUGAAUUAUGUGGAAACGGAGCCUUCCACGAAAUGUGUCUGAAGAAACUGGAGCUACUUAGUGUGCAGGGGAGAAGCCUUGUGGAGACACGGCAGUUGUCUUAAUAUAUUUGAAAGGCUGUCACGGGGAAUACAGAAUAGAUUUAUCCUGUGUCGCUGUGAGGUACAGAACUGGUGUCAGCAAAUGGGCUCAUUUUGAUUCAUUGUAGGAAAGAUAUUCUGUCUAAUUGGAUUUAGUAACAAAGCUGAUUGAUUCCUAAAAUAGAGGGGGAGCCCCCUGCCGCUAAGAAUAACCAAAGAGAGGUGAGAUGAGCAUGGCUCAGGAUGGGUGUGCAGAGAUUUCUCAACCUGGAAUGUGGGACCAACCAAACGACCUAUUUUUACAGUCAGGCCUAGUUUUAAGCCUUUUGUAUGAUUUUCCAAACUUAGAGAAGAAUGAUUUGGGAGUAAUUAAUUUUAAGACACAGAGAAUAAUUUAGCCCCAUUGCUGCUUCAUUCAUUAUUCUCUUUGUGAAGAUAAAUGAGAAGCAGAUGAACAGAAAAGGGGUAGAAAAAUCAGAGGGUAGAAGAAGAAGCCACAGCUUUUCCUUAUCCUCUCUUGGAAAUCGGGUAAAGAACCGUAUCAGAUGUAAAGCCGUGCCUAACUAAAGUACAAUGGCAUCCAAGGCCAUCUCACCCUUGUAACCAGUCUCCUAAAAUCUCCCAGUGGACUUGACUUUUCACCAGCAGCACGACGACGACGAUGUUGGUACAAAGUGAUAUUUCUUUUUUUUUUUUUUUGUCUUUUUGUCUUGUUGUUGUUGUUCUUGUUGCUAUUUCUUG